UGUCGCUGACAUUCUCCGUAAGGGGGGAGCCCGCACGAUGCUUGACCACAAUUUGGACAAGUAAAUGCACAAGGACAAGAACGGCGAGAUUUAGGAAAUUAAUUUAUAGAGCACUAACUGGGAAUUUGGAUAUGGGCGUCUGGAAAAAGACAGCC
RNAcentral lists this non-coding RNA (155 nucleotides) under Thraustochytrium sp. LLF1b. Lineage: Eukaryota; Bigyra; Thraustochytrida; Thraustochytriidae. The record is from RNAcentral.